AGAGUUUGAUCAUGGCUCAGAAUCAACGCUGGCGGCGUGCCUAACACAUGCAAGUCGAACACGAAAGCCCCGCAAGGGGUUAGUAGAGUGGCAAACGGGUGAGUAACACGUGGGUGAUCUGCCUCAGAGUGGGGGAUAACGACCCGAAAGGGUCGCUAAUACCGCAUAACAUCCUGCCUUUGGAUAGGUGGAGAUCAAAGCCGGGGACCGCAAGGCCUGGCGCUUGGAGAGGAGCCCGCGGCCGAUUAGCUAGUUGGUGAGGUAACGGCUCACCAAGGCAACGAUCGGUAUCCGGCCUGAGAGGGCGGACGGACACACUGGGACUGAGACACGGCCCAGACUCCUACGGGAGGCAGCAGUGGGGAAUUGUUCGCAAUGGGCGCAAGCCUGACGACGCAACGCCGCGUGGAGGACGAAGAUUUUCGGAUCGUAAACUCCUUUCGAUCGGGAAGAACAGCUUUCGGGUUAACAGCCUGAGAGUCUGACGGUACCGAGAGAAGAAGCCCCGGCUAACUCUGUGCCAGCAGCCGCGGUAAUACAGGGGGGGCAAGCGUUGUUCGGAAUUACUGGGCGUAAAGGGGUUGUAGGCGGCCAACUAAGUCCGACGUGAAAUCCCAAGGCUUAACCUUGGAACUGCGUCGGAUACUGGAUGGCUUGAAUUCGGGAGAGGGAUGCAGAAUUCCAGGUGUAGCGGUGAAAUGCGUAGAUAUCUGGAGGAAUACCGGUGGCGAAGGCGGCAUCCUGGACCGACAUUGACGCUGAAAACCGAAAGCUAGGGGAGCAAACGGGAUUAGAUACCCCAGUAGUCC
RNAcentral lists this ribosomal RNA (809 nucleotides) under uncultured bacterium. Its description in RNAcentral is "bacterial SSU rRNA". It matches the Rfam family "Bacterial small subunit ribosomal RNA", at positions 8 to 796 of the family's 1533-position model. The record is from RNAcentral.